This is a long non-coding RNA of Mauremys mutica (yellowpond turtle), 490 nucleotides long. RefSeq lists it as uncharacterized. The record is from RefSeq and is a predicted model, not a curated record. Lineage: Eukaryota; Metazoa; Chordata; Testudines; Geoemydidae. The transcript is spliced from 3 exons.
CCUCCUUCUUCCCCUCCCUCACCAUAAAGCAUUUCUGCCUUCCUUCAGCAAGCCCAGCCAAUGUUCCCUCCACUGCAGUUGUGGUGUGGUCAUUGUCUCUCUCAGACCUCUCUCCUGUGCAGGAAAAAUGAAGUUUAGAACUGAUUCUUGACACGUGAUGCACAUUUGUCAGGAGGCCAAGGCAAAUCAGAAUAAACAACUCGAAGAAAAUGGCAAAUUCAAGAAAAUAAAAGUAGCUUAAUAUGAUUUAAUACCAAUAAAGUGGUUAAGAUGAAGUUUCUUAAACUCUUUUAUGGAGGCUAGGUAACAAUGACAUGGAUUUUUGAGGAACAAUUCCAGAGCUUUGAAUGACUGAAAUAUACUGAAACCAAAAAGAAAAGCUUGGUCUUGAUUAUCUAUAUAACAGAUUAGCUUGAAGGAAAUAAUUAUUACCAAUCUGUACCAUAACAGCUGUACUUAAAUGCAAUGUAACAUUUAAGGUCUGUGGAGC